This is a long non-coding RNA of Oncorhynchus tshawytscha (Chinook salmon), 4347 nucleotides long. NCBI's taxonomy places the organism in Eukaryota, Metazoa, Chordata, Actinopteri, Salmoniformes, Salmonidae. The record is from Ensembl.
UCUACCAACUGCGUUUUUAUUUUUUUAUUAAGACUUUCUCUCCCAAUUCUAUACCACCAAUUAGCUGUAUUUACACAACUACAUCCAAUCAUAUCCUUUAAAAAAAGACACUGGGUUAAACAUUUAAAAUAAAAAAAAACACAAGUUAUCUACUCUCCGCUACUUCAGAUUACUCUGGGUGUGUGAUAACCCAUACAGUUCUCUGUGCAUCAUGGAACAGAGCACUGUCCACAAAGAUCAGUUUGAAUUUCGACCUUGGGUUUAUUAUUGGAGGAAAAAACAUGAACACAGAACAGAAAUAUUGGAUUGGAUUAAUAUUGUACAUGUAAAGCGUACUUCAUAUAGACCGUGGAUAUGUAGCUGAAUUACAGUACCGCAUUUAGUAAUAUAGAAUAUGUAAGCUGAAUUACAGUACCGCAUUUAGUAAUAUAGAAUAUGUAAGCUGAAUUAGAGUACCACAUUUAGUAAUAUAGAAUAUGUAAGCUGAAUUACAGUACCACAUUUAGUAAUAUAGAAUAUGUAGCUGAAUUACAGUACCGCAUUUAGUAAUAUAGAAUAUGUAGCUGAAUUACAGAUAUUGCAUUUAGUAAUAUAGAAUAUGUAGCUGAAUUACAGAUAUUGCAUUUAGUAAUAUAGAACAUGUAAGCUGAAUUACAGAUAUUGCAUUUAGUAAUAUAGAAUAUGUAAACUGAAUUAGAGUAUCACAUUUAGUAAUAUAGAAUAUGUAAACUGAAUUAGAGUAUCACAUUUAGUAAUAUAGAAUAUGUAAACUGAAUUACAGAAGUGUAUUUAGUUGAACAGCUGCAAUUAUGUGUGACUGGAUAUGAGAAUAAAAUUCAGAAAACUCAAAAACGUACAUACAGCACUACUUAUUAUAAGGUAUAACAUUGUACUACUAAUGUAGGUUAGAAUCAUCCCUUAUGUGAACAUUGACAUCCAAUUUGACAAUAUACAUUGAGGAACUUUAUGGAUUUGAUUUUACAAAAAAAAAAAAAUGUUUUCCAUAAAUCCCUGGAGAUAAAACAUGGGAGACAUAAAAGCCAGAAAACACAUACUCACUCAAAAUGAAUAUGGUCCCUCACCACGAUACAAAGUUAAGAGACGGUGGCCAGGUAUUAAUAUGGUCCCUCACCACGAUACAAAGUUAAGAGACAGUAGCCAGGUAUUAAUAUGGUCCCUCACCACGAUACAAAGUUAAGAGACAGUGGCCAGGUAUUAAUAUUGUCCCUCACCACGAUACAAAGUUAAGAGACAGUGGCCAGGUAUUAAUAUUGUCCCUCACCACGAUACAAAGUUAAGAGACAGUGGCCAGGUAUUAAUAUUGUCCCUCACCACGAUACAAAGUUAAGAGACAGUGGCCAGGUAUUAAUAUUGUCCCUCACCACGAUACAAAGUUAAGAGACAGUGGCCAGGUAUUAAUAUGGUCCCUCACGACGAUACAAAGUUAAGAGACAGUGGCCAGGUAUUAAUAUGGUCCCUCACCACGAUACAAAGUUAAGAGACAGUGGCCAAGUAUUAAUAUGGUCCCUCACCACGAUACAAAGUUAAGAGUAGCCAGGUUUUUCAUCCAAUUAGCAACAUAUUUUCACGCAAAUAUUCUAACAUUUGCCAUAAAACAAUAUUCACAUUUUUUUCACACCAGAGAUGUUUUUCCAUCAAACGUAAUUUGUGCGGAUAAAAGACUGUGUGGCGUAGUGCACAUAAAACACACCUUUUUCUCUUCAAUCCCCAAUAGAAGUUCAUUGGGUUUCCAUUGCGUUUUGUGAUGUGAGAGAAGUGUUAUAUAUAGCGAAUGUGUCCACUCUGGUCUCUAGCCAACAGUUCGCAAAUGCAGUGCAUUAUGAGAUGAUUUAUGGAUAAAAGCGAUAUAAUUUUUUUUUCAUUUUGUCAAACGGCAGCCAAGUAUCUAUCAACAUGUCACUGGAAUAAGACCCUGGAUAUGGAUUGGAAAGGCGCAUCAAGCUCAUCACCACCCGGUGAAGUUCAUCAUCAUUUAUUUCAUCUGUAGCUUAAUAAACUGUGUGGUUUCCCGAGUCGUAGUGGGGAGGACUACACAACAUAUCAUCGCCGGACUCCAAGUUGACGUCAAUACGAUGGUUAUUAUAUCAAUAAUUAAGUAUAAAGGCAUUUCCACUACCAUUUCUUGCAUAAUUAAUUUUACCGACACAAAAAAGAUCCCGCCAUGUCGAACGAACAAAUUGUCUGUCGGCAUUUCUACAAAUGUACCAGUAUUUAAUGUUUCCAUAAACCCAGUCGUAACUUCUUUCAUGUGUCAGGUAAUUCAUCCGCAUGAAAUGUUUGGAUGGAAACGUGGUUAGUGUCAGACAGAGAAGCAGUCAUAAUUACCAGAGAACAUCAUUGAAGUAAACAUACACAUUCACAAAACAAUAAAAAAUAAAUAUACAAUAAAAUAAAAUAAAAAGUACAUAACAACAUUUAUAGUACAUAUUAAAUGUCAAUUGUCUGACAAAAAAAAAACAGUUGGUUCGUGAAAGUAGGCGCUUUGGGAGGGGAAGGCUUUUGGUUGGUUAGUACUGGAGAGGGUUGUUAUGGUAACCAGCCGUGCUAGGCUGUGAUUGGUUGACAGUCAGCCAGGCUGGCCUGUGAUUGGUUGAAAGUCAGUGAGCGUGUCCAGAUCAGUCCUUGCCGGCAUCGAUCUUCUCUUGCCGUCGUCUCAUGAUCUCUUGGAGCUCUGAAUCCCCACUGCUCUUCUGGAAAACAGUAAUACAGGCUUUAGUUUCACACGUCCCAAACACUGAACAAAAAGAGAAACACAACAUGCAACAUUUGUAAAGAUUUUACUGAGUUACAGCUCAUAUAAGGAAAUCAGUCAAUUGGGAUGAAUUAAUUAGGCCCUAAUCUAUGGAUUUAACAUGACUGGGAAUACAGAUAUCCAUCUGUUGAUAACAGAUAUAUAUAUAUAUUUUUAAAGGUAGGGGCGUGAAUCAGAAAACCAGUCUGUAUCUGGUGUGACCACCAUUUGCCUCAUGCAGCGCGACAUAUCUCCUUCGCAUAGAGUUGAUCAGGCUGUUGAUUGUGGUCUGUGGAAUGUUGUCCCACUCCUCUUCAAUGGCUGUGCGAAGUUGCUGGAUAUUGGCGGGAACUGGAACACACUGUCGUACACGUCAAUCCAGAGCAUCCCAAACAUGCUCAACAGGUAUCGUGUCUGGUAAGUAUGCAGGCCAUGGAAGAACUAGGACAUUUUCAGCUUCCAGGAAUUGUGUACUGAUCCUUGAGACAUGGGGCCAUGUAUUAUCAUGCUGAAACAUGAGGUGAUGGCAGCGGAUGAAUGGCACGACAAUGGGGCCUCAGGAUCUCAUCACGGUAUCUCUAUGCAUUCAAAUUGCAAUCGAUAAAAUGCAAUUGUGUUUAUUGUCCGUACCUUAUGCCUGCCCAUACCAUAAUCCCACCAUGGGGCGCUCUGUUCACAACGUUGACAUCAGCAAACCGCUCGUCUACACAACGCCAUACACGGUACCAUCUGUCUGGUACAGUUGAAACUAGGAUUCACCCAUGAAGAGCGCACUUCUCCAGCGUGCCAGUGGCCAUCGAAGGUGAUCAUUUACCCACUGAAGUCUGUUACGACGCUGAACUGCAGUCAGGUCAAGAACCCGGUGAGGACGACGGGCACACAGAUGAGCUUCCCUGAGACAGUUUCUGUCCAGUUUGUGCGGAAAUUCUUCAGUUGUGCAAACACACAGUUUAAUCAGCUGUCCAGUGGCUGGUCUCAGACCAUCCCGCAGGUAGAGAAGCCUGAUGUGGAGAUCCUGGGCUGGUGGGGUUUCACAUGACCUGCGGUUGUGAGGCCGGUUGGACGUACUGCGAAAUUCUCUAAAACGACAUUGGAGGUGGCUUAUGGUAGAGAAAUGAACAUUACAUUCUCUGCUCCGGUGGACAUUCCUGCAGUCAGCAUGCCAAUAGUAUGCUCCCUCAAAACACCAGACAUCGGUGGCAUUGUGUUGUGUGACAAAACUGCACAUUUUAGAGUGGCCUUUUAUUGCCCCCAGCACAAGGUGCACCUGUGUAAUGAUCAUGCUGUUUAGUCAGCUUCUUGAUAUGCCACACCUGUCAGGUGGACGGAUUAUCUUGGCAAAGGAGAAACGCUCACUAACAGGGAUGUAAACAUAUUUGUGCACAACAUUUAAGACAAAUAACCUUCUUGUGAAAAAUGAAAAAUGUCUGGGAUCUUAUUUCAGCUCAUGAAACAUGGAUCCAACACUUUGCAUUUAUAUUUUUGUUCAGUGUAUGUGUAUUUGUAUCAGUACAUGUAUCUAUCCACUUAACUAUAAAAAGACAAAUGUGGGUCUCAAAGCCUUAAAACAGCCACACAAGGAGUGUGUGUGCGUA